Long non-coding RNA from Cervus elaphus (red deer), 452 nucleotides. RefSeq lists it as uncharacterized. The record is from RefSeq and is a predicted model, not a curated record. NCBI's taxonomy places the organism in Eukaryota, Metazoa, Chordata, Mammalia, Artiodactyla, Cervidae. The transcript has 4 exons.
GCGCGCUCGGCUCUUUCCGCCGGCCCGCCGCGCGGGAGGCCGACCUCCUGGCCUCUGCUCCAGCGCGUGUUUGCUUCCUGAAUCUAAUCUUCAUAAGGGCAAGAAUUUUCACCUGUUUUGUUUAUCACUGUAUUUUCAAUGCCUCGGAUCGUGCUGCUGAGAGAUGAGGAAAAGGCUUCCAGGCCACUGGUUUGCACUUCUGUUUGCUCCUGGCCCCUCUGGACUGGCCACCCUUUGCAUCACACCACGCUCCACGCUGCUGCUGGGGGACGCAUCCUCAGAGACACGAUCGGAUUCAGGCAGGAGUAGUUACUGAACACGUGCCAGGUCCCCCGUCCAGGUGCUCUGGGCCUGCCGUGGCCCGCAGUGCAGACUAGGUCUGCUCUCCUGGAGCUGACAUUUCAUGGGGAGAUGCAGGCACUGAUGGGAAAGAAACCAAUGGAUGCCUGAGU